GGAGCUUGCUUCGGUGUCCUUAGUGGCGGACGGGUGAGUAACGCGUGGGAAUUUGCCUUACAGUUCGGAAUAACCACGGGAAACUGUGGCUAAUACCGUAUACGCCCUCCGGGGGAAAGAUUUAUCGCUGUUUGAUGAGCCCGCGUCGGAUUAGCUUGUUGGUGAGGUAAUGGCUCACCAAGGCAACGAUCCGUAGCUGGUCUGAGAGGAUGACCAGCCACACUGGGACUGAGACACGGCCCAGACUCC
RNAcentral lists this ribosomal RNA (249 nucleotides) under uncultured bacterium. RNAcentral's name for it is "partial 16S ribosomal RNA". It matches the Rfam family "Bacterial small subunit ribosomal RNA", at positions 75 to 339 of the family's 1533-position model. The record is from RNAcentral.